RNAcentral lists this long non-coding RNA (217 nucleotides) under Gallus gallus (chicken). The record is from RNAcentral. Lineage: Eukaryota; Metazoa; Chordata; Aves; Galliformes; Phasianidae.
GUGUCGUUCAUGCUGGUUACAGGUCUGGGGGGCACAAUAUGAGCCAGGUUUAGAGGUUUUUCAGGCUGGUCAGGGAACAUUGGGUGCAAAGGUUCACGGCUGGAAGCACAGCUUAAAGACUUGCUAAGUGCAUUAGUUAGCUUCUUAGCAGGUGAUUUCCAUGACGUGUACUCUUUCAUUUGGUGCUGGUUGCUGUGGGAACCGCUGGCAUGGCCUC